AAACAUUCUCACGUGUGUCUGUAGUUCCAGCUUAUUCGGGUGGCUGAGGCUGGAGGAUCUCUUGAGUACAGGAGUUCUGGGCUGCAGUGCGCUAUGCCGAUCGGAUGUCCGCACGAAGUUCGGCAUCAAUAUGGUGACCUCCCGGGAGCAGGGGACCACGAGGUUGCCUAAGGAGGGGUGAAACGGCCCAGGUCAGAAAUGGAGCAGGUCAAAACUCCCGUGCUGAUCAGUAGUGGGAUCGUGCCUGUGAAUAGCCACUGUACUCCAGCCUGGGAAACAUAGUGAGACUGUCUCU
Molecule: signal recognition particle RNA, 295 nt
Filed under: Saimiri boliviensis boliviensis (Bolivian squirrel monkey)
Lineage: Eukaryota; Metazoa; Chordata; Mammalia; Primates; Cebidae
Description: Metazoan signal recognition particle RNA (ENSSBOG00000001080.1)
Rfam family: Metazoan signal recognition particle RNA
About the family: The signal recognition particle (SRP) is a universally conserved ribonucleoprotein. It is involved in the co-translational targeting of proteins to membranes.
Source: RNAcentral